This 2334-nucleotide ribosomal RNA is filed under the name Triticum aestivum (bread wheat). Its description in RNAcentral is "partial small subunit ribosomal RNA". Lineage: Eukaryota; Viridiplantae; Streptophyta; Magnoliopsida; Poales; Poaceae. The record is from RNAcentral.
AUGAAAACCUCCAUGAACAUGAGCCUGGCCCACACCUGCUUGAACUCCAUCUUCGUCGCCGAGCAACGGGUGUUGUACAAGUCUGCGCGUGCUCGCAUCGCCUGCAACUCGGUUACGACGCUGUCAGACGUGGAGGUCGGUCCAUCCACAUUCAUCAUCGACCUCAAGCGAACCGGUGACGAACAUGCUACAAACUUCGACAAGGAGGAGUGGGCGCGUGGGAGGCGGCGAGGCCCCGAGUCCUCAUACCAAAAGAACAUUUCUGAAAGACAAGGCACGGACGGGCAUCACCACGCGUCCACGCCCGUCGCUACUCUAGAAAUUCCCCCCACCCUAGAAACAAGGAAAGUCCCAGUUCGACAAGGAAAGCACCGCCGCCGACCUCGCCUGCCCUGCCCAUCCGAUCCGGAUCCGGCCCGAACCCACGCCCUCCACGCUCCACUUUCCUUCUUUACUUCCGCCUCCACGCCACGCCUGCUCGCCGAAGCCAAGGACGAGGCUCCGGUUGGCGCCACCGCCUCUGCCCCGGCUAUAAAGGCGCGCCCUUUGGCCGCCCCGCUCCUCCUCCUCUCUUCGCCCGGGCCGCGCCUUCGCCUCCUCGCCGCGCUCUGGCCGGUCUGCGCCUCCUCCACUCUUCGUCCGGGCCGCGCCUUCGCCUCCUCGCCGCGCUCUCGCCGGUCCGCUGCUCCUCCACUCUUCGUCCGGGCCGUGCCUUUCUCCUCCUCGCCGCGCUCUGCCCGGUUUGCUCCUCCUCCUCCUCCUCUCUUCAUCCGGGCCGUGCCUCCUGCUGUCCUCCUCGGGUCGCAUUUUAUCUUGCUCGUCGUCGUUCGAUUCGUCCGUUUAGAACCGCGGCUGGAUUUGGUUUUGCUCGUCCUCGCCGUCGCCGAGUCGCGUCUGAUUUCAUUUUGCUCGUGCUCGAUUCGUCAGUUUAGAAUCGCUUCUGAUUUGAUUUCCUUCGUCCUCGCCGUCGUCAGUUUAGCGUCGCUUCUGAUUUGGUUCUGCUCGUCCUCGCCGUCGUCCGUUUUUCCUCGUCCUCGCCUUCGCCCCGACGCGCCCGCGUGUUCUUGGUCCGUCUCGUCGAGGGUCUCCGUCUGGUUUGCGGUUGAGAAAUUUCUGCGUGCGCUUCUUCUGUUAUCUGAAAGACACUUUGGAUGUUGCGUUUCGUGUUCGUGUCAGCGCGAGUGUUACAGGAACGGUCAGUAUCUUUGGCCUUUGAUUCUGCUCGUCCUUGCUGUCGUCAGUUUGGAUAGAAUCGCUUUGGAUUUGAUUUUGCUCGUCCUCGCCAUCGUAGGUGCUUUUCUAAGUAUUGUCACAUUUGCUCUUCCUUGUGUUGCUAAGGACACUGAUGGGUUGGGUUUGCUUACAGUGCAGCUCAUCAUUCUAAUUUUAGCUCACCUCUACAGUCAUACAAACUGGCAUGCCAAGGACUGCUCAGGGUUCCUAUCUCUUUCUGUUUUACCAACUAUAAGAAUCCAGGGGUGGAUGGAGGCUUUCAUAUUGAUUUGUUAUUAUGGUUGUUCUGAUGGUGUGCUUCUGGUGUUUGAACUGAAGCCAUGGAUCGCCCAUCAACCUGGUCUGUGUUUGUAUGGACAGAGUUGCAAUGUUUACAUCCAUGGCAGAAGGUUCUUUAACACUGAACUCAUCAUCAAAGGUCCUUGGGCUCAAGAGGAAGAUGACAAAAUUAUUGACCUUGUAAACAAGUAUGGACCAACAAAAAUGAUCUCAUUGCAAGGUCAGCUACUAGAACUUCCUAUUUCUGAUCCUGGGAUGUUCCGAACAUGCUCCCGAACAUAUUUUUCUUGUUCUGUGAUGCAUAUAUCUGACCACUCUUUUCUUAGGCUACUCGGCAUGCUCAGCGUGUUUACGUCAGUGGACUUCCUCCAAUCGCUAAUGAACAGACGGUUGCUCUAUUCUUCAAUCAAGUUAUGGAUGCUAUCGGGGGAAACACAUUUGGUCCAGCAUGUGAUUCAAGCUUUGAAAUGCAUCCUUCCUUGCUAUGAAAAAUCUAGGCAUGCCUGGAACUUCCUGAUUCCUUUCUCAAGCUGUAUGAGUUCUAUACUAAUCUUGCGUGAACACGCUCUGCACCCUCAAUGCAUCGCACGGAUCUUGGCGCGAGGAUCGCCAUGUGAGGCGCAGAAAUUGUUCGCACUAACUGUCCAUGGAGCGAAUUUUCCUUAUAUACCCCCUUCCUCGCUCCACAAACGCCACUCCCCCACCUUUUCCUACCCAGUCUCGCGCUCUGCUCCGCAGAUGAUUCAGUAUGGUAUUGCACGGAUAUUGGUGCAAGGAUUGCCAUGUGAGGCACAUAAAUUGUUCGUGCUAACUGUCGCCUGA